This is a non-coding RNA of Salmo salar (Atlantic salmon), 58 nucleotides long. Lineage: Eukaryota; Metazoa; Chordata; Actinopteri; Salmoniformes; Salmonidae. The record is from Rfam.
UAGCUCAGUUGGUAGAGCAUGGUGUUUGCAACGCCAGGGUUGUGGGUUUGUUUCCCAC